GGACACCCUGGCCCGGGUGAGGCGGCGGGCGUCCGGGGAGGGCGCGGAAGAAGCGGUGCUGAUCGCGUCCUCCGGUGUGGUGCUGGAGGCGGCCAC
Molecule: transfer RNA, 96 nt
Filed under: Streptomyces mirabilis
Lineage: Bacteria; Bacillati; Actinomycetota; Actinomycetes; Kitasatosporales; Streptomycetaceae
Description: tRNA-Pro
Source: RNAcentral